UGAUCUUCAGUAUUGGUGGUUUUGUGUGG
This 29-nucleotide non-coding RNA is filed under the name Homo sapiens (human). The record is from RNAcentral. Lineage: Eukaryota; Metazoa; Chordata; Mammalia; Primates; Hominidae.